CCUACGGGAGGCAGCAGUCGAGAAUCAUUCACAAUGGGGGAAACCCUGAUGGUGCGACGCCGCGUGGGGGAAUGAAGGUCUUCGGAUUGUAAACCCCUGUCAUGUGGGAGCAAAUUAAAAAGAUAGUACCACAAGAGGAAGAGACGGCUAACUCUGUGCCAGGAGCCGCGGUAAUACAGAGGUCUCAAGCGUUGUUCGGAAUCACUGGGCGUAAAGCGUGCGUAGGCUGUUUCGUAAGUCGUGUGUGAAAGGCGCGGGCUCAACCCGCGGACGGCACAUGAUACUGCGAGACUAGAGUAAUGGAGGGGGAACCGGAAUGCUCGGUGUAGCAGUGAAAUGCGGAGAUAUCGGGAGGAACACUCGUGGCGAAGGCGGGUUCCUGGACAUUAACUGACGCUGAGGCACGAAGGCCAGGGGAGCGAAAGGGAUUAGAUACCCUGGUAGUC
RNAcentral lists this ribosomal RNA (446 nucleotides) under uncultured bacterium. RNAcentral describes it as "partial 16S ribosomal RNA". It matches the Rfam family "Bacterial small subunit ribosomal RNA", at positions 338 to 795 of the family's 1533-position model. The record is from RNAcentral.